Molecule: ribosomal RNA, 406 nt
Filed under: uncultured bacterium
Lineage: Bacteria
Description: bacterial SSU rRNA
Rfam family: Bacterial small subunit ribosomal RNA
Source: RNAcentral
GGCAGACGGCUGAGUAACGCGUGGGUGACAUACCCAACGGUGGGGAAUAACUGCCCGAAAGGGUGGCUAAUACCGCAUAUGCCUGCUGGUUCGCUCCGGUAGGUAAAGUCGCAAGGCGCCGAUGGAGUGGCCCGCGUCCGAUUAGCCAGUUGGUGGGGUAACGGCUACCAAAGCGACGAUCGGUAGCUGGUCUCAGAGGAUGAUCAGCCAGACUGGGACUGAGACACGGCCCAGACUCAUACGGGAGGCAGCAGUUAGGAACUUUUGGGCAAUGUGGCGCACAGCCUGACCCAGCAACGCCGCGUGGGUGACGAAGGCCUUCGGGUUGUAAAGCCCUUUUCUCAGGGAAGAUGAUGACGGUACCUGAGGAAGAAGCACCGGUCUAACUACGUGCCAGCAGCCGCGG